AUUGAACGCUGGCGGCAGGCCUAACACAUGCAAGUCGAACGAGUGGCGGACGGGUGAGUAAUGUCUGGGAAACUGCCUGAUGGAGGGGGAUAACUACUGGAAACGGUAGCUAAUACCGCAUACCAUCAGAUGUGCCCAGAUGGGAUUAGCUAGUUGGUGGGGUAACGGCUCACCAAGGCGACGAUCCCUAGCUGGUCUGAGAGGAUGACCAGCCACGGUGGGACUGAGACACGGUCCAGACUCCGACGGGAAGCAGCAGUGGGGAUUAUUGAAGAAUGGCCGCAAGCCUGAUGCAGCCAGGCCGCGUGGAUGAAGAAGGCCGUCGGGUUGUAAAGUACUUUCAGCGAGGAGGCGUUACCCGAAGAAGAAACACCGGCUAACGCCGUGCCAGCAGCGGCGGUAA
This 403-nucleotide ribosomal RNA is filed under the name uncultured bacterium. Its description in RNAcentral is "partial 16S ribosomal RNA". It matches the Rfam family "Bacterial small subunit ribosomal RNA", at positions 29 to 523 of the family's 1533-position model. The record is from RNAcentral.